Molecule: ribosomal RNA, 431 nt
Filed under: uncultured bacterium
Lineage: Bacteria
Description: partial 16S ribosomal RNA
Rfam family: Bacterial small subunit ribosomal RNA
Source: RNAcentral
AACGAACGCUGGCGGCAGGCCUAACACAUGCAAGUCGAGCGCCCCGCCAGGGGACCGGCUGACGGGUGAGUAACGCGUGGGAACGUACCAUUUGGUUCGGAACAACUCCGGGAAACUGGAGCUACUACCGGAUAAGCCCUAACGGGGAAAGGUUUAUCGCCGAAGGAUCGGCCCGCGUCUGAUUAGCUAGUUGGUGGGGUAACGGCUCACCAAGGCGACGACCAGUAGCUGGUGUGAGAGGAUGAUCAGCCACACUGGGGCUGGGAUACAGCCCAGACUCCUACGGGAGGGGGGAGUGGGGGAUAGUGGACAAUGGCGGCAGGGAUGAAGCAGCCAGGCCGGGUGAGUGAUGAAAGCAGUAGAGUUGUAAAGCGCUUUUGUCCGGGAAGAUAAUGACGGUACCGGAAGAAUAAGCCCCGGCUAACUUCGUG